UUUUUAAUAAGUUUUUGCUCCAAGCGAGAAACAUGACGCACGUGGCCGGUAUUUAUUAAACAAUGUUUCUGAUUUUUGACGGUUGCGGUAAGUUAUAGCUUGCGCGCGGUACUCACGCGUCUAGGGGCGGCGAUUGCGUGGCAAAAAGGUACCCCGUUGUGAAAGGGGUCAAACCGCGGUAGAACUCGUGUUGGUGCGGUAGAGAGGGAAGGGUGGAAACGGUGGAAAACCAGUCUUUGUUGUUGACGGGAGAGUACGUGGUACGGUGCGGUAUCCGUUAUUCUGGGAGGGGCGAGAAUAAGGGACGAAGGCGGGAGUAACAUGUCGGAUGCGAUCAUACCAGCACUAAAGCACCGGAUCCCAUCAGAACUCCGAAGUUAAGCUGCUUGGGCGAGAGUAGUACUAGGAUAGGAUGACCUGGGAAGUCCUCGUGUUGCAUUCUC
Molecule: ribosomal RNA, 443 nt
Filed under: Hordeum depressum
Lineage: Eukaryota; Viridiplantae; Streptophyta; Magnoliopsida; Poales; Poaceae
Source: RNAcentral